This 3908-nucleotide long non-coding RNA is filed under the name Setaria italica (foxtail millet). Its description in RNAcentral is "long non-coding RNA (SITA_LNC004760)". Lineage: Eukaryota; Viridiplantae; Streptophyta; Magnoliopsida; Poales; Poaceae. The record is from RNAcentral.
CUGAGGCUUGUGCUCGGCAAACCUCUCCGCAUCGUCCGCCACCCCUCCUGAUGAGCUGGUAUUCAAGCUGGAUCUCGAACGGGAAUACGUCGGGUAUUCGUUCUCCACAGGUGCUCCCGGGUACAUUUGAUCUGAGGCACCAAACAGGUACUCGUACUCCUCAGUGCUGGUCGAAUUCCUUGUGCUGUCGCUACUAUCAGUGCUGACAGUGCUGUGCGAUCCAGCAUCAGAGUUGCUGAAGAGUGACGAGCUCUCGCUUGGACUUGGAGAUUCUGCCGGUGGAUAUGGUGCAUCUCCAUAUUCGUCGGAUGUAUGGGCAAGGUCAUCUGCCAUGUAGUCUGCAUGUAGGUGACCACCUUGGUGUCUGCUGAAGGAACCUCCAAAUGGUGUCCCUCCUGGAACUACCUUCUGCUUGGCCUUCUUCGGGCGUGCUGGGUCUUGAACCAUCACUUUCCUCACAGAGCUUGGCGCCCUUGGUGAACAUCUGAUUUAAUUAGAACAAGUAUUAGAAUAUCCUGACAAAAGUCCUCACAGGCAUAUGCAGGACAAGUGCGAGCAUAUGCAAUUAGAAUAAGAAAAUCCUGGUAUUCACCUUGCGUACAGCAGCAUAUACGCACACUUUGACAUAACGUUGUCUAGAGAUACAGGUUUCACCUGCACACAACAGACGCAAGCUAUUAAGAAUAGCAUAUUACAACAACUGAUUCUAUCUGAAGAUAACCUAGCACAGGCCCGCUGCUUUCAACCCAGUGAAGCAUCAGUUCAGUAACUGUCAACUUUUGACACAAAAUAUGUUUGCUAUUCUUUUACAAAAAUAUAAACUUAUCCUUGCAAUUUUCUAAUAAUAUGUACAGUCUGAUCAUUAUUCCAUAUUUUCAGUAAGGAUUAUAGUUUCAUUUAUGGUAGAAGAAAAACACUUAAGGGUCAGUUUGGAGGAAAAAAAUCAGUCUAGGAACUCUCAGGAUUUAGCUCAUGUUUUUAUAAAUCCUAGAAAUUUGGAUCCUGGAAUGACCUUUCCAAAAAGGCCCUAAUUAUGAGAAUAGGACCAUGAGAAGCAUACCUGGCUGUCAUCUGCCUUAAACCACUUUCCCUGUGUAUCUUUAACAUAACAUACAUAAUGACCAGAGAAGGCAGCAUUCAUGACAUCAUGAUGGACAACCACUGCAUAGAGGCUGUAAACAGGCGAUCUGUCAUCAGUCUCUGGGUUCAUAUAACGAACCAUGUUCAGGGUCUCCGGAAAUCUGAUGGCUUUGUUAAUCUUCCCAAACUUGCCAGACUGCACAUAUAAAAAGGAUGCUUAGUGGAUAUAACAAAACUCAAUUCCUAUUAAUAGUUUAAUACAUGAAAAUAUGAACAUUUGAGUCAUCCACAUGUACUUCUCCGCUCUUUUGCUAGUACGGUGUUCAAAUAUAACUUUCAGUAAAUGGCACAUACCUGAUAUCUUUUCAGUGCAAUAGUCAGAACAUUUGGUGCUUCUUCUAUUGUCAACUUCUUUUUAGCACGCUCAUAGGAUUUGCAUCUGAUAAGGCAGAGUAGAGUCAGGAAUGAGAAUUUAACAAAAGAAUAAUUGAAACUACAUACAUGUGACUAAAUGUGAAGCGAGCAUUAAUACAUUACUAGAAUAGUGAAAUAAGUUGAGAAUGCCAUGGUAGAUGGCCCUCAGAAAAGGCAUUCAUUUUCUCUUUUUUCCAAGACGGCGAAAAAAAACAUUACUUUCCAUUAAAAAUGAUUACCAUGCAGUUGGGUAUGAUGACACUUGCAAAUGUAAAUGUCCUCCAAUGACAAAACAAUAUGAAUCUCUAACCCUCAUAUUAGCAACAAGAACAAAAUGUUAUGCAGCUAUCGGUUCUUUUCAAAAUUACAAGAUGGCGUAGGAGUCCCUCCUUAGUUUUCUUAAGAUUCAGUGACAACCAAAGAUUAUGGUCCCCAGAUAAAAGAUGAGCAAUUUGAUGAACAUAUAGGCACAUCGUGAGCCGAUGAAGAGAAGAAAAGAAAAGAAAAGAUCAAGAGAUGUAAGCAAACCUGCUGCAGUGAUAUCUAUUUUCUCCAUCCAAGACUUCUGUAGAUGUAAACCGCACAAGAGCCUCAUCCAGUGAACUGAUGUCACCAUCUAUUUCAACAGUAAGAUCCAACAUACGCUCACAUUGCUCAGAACUAAUAUGACACCUUGAGCAUUUUAUCUAUGAAAAAAAAAUCAAAGAAAGAGGAAGGAAUGAUCAGUAAGGAUGUAAAAAGGAUUAGUUCACUAUAUAACAAGUCUAAGGUAAUUGAAUAUAUAUCAGAAUUAAAAUAUUAAGCUUUAUGUAAAUAACCUUAGAUCGCAGAUAGCCCCCAAAUAUCAAUUGCACAAGUGUAGUUUCUUCUGCUGACCGAAGGGCACCUCCUUUUCUAGCUUCCUUCAUGCAUACGGAUUGCAUGGCAUCAAUUGCAUACCUGCAAAGAGACCAGAUGCUAUGCUUUCAAUAAAAGUAGAGGCAAUGCCUUUGAUUUGAGGAUAAGGCAUUUUUGUCACAUCGAAGAACUCUUGCAUAUAAAGGAGUUAGCUACGAUCAAUUAAUUUUUUUUGAUAACAUGUGAACCACUUGCAACACUAACCCAGAAUAAAGUGGACUAAAAAAGUAACAAAUAAAUCACUGUGGGGUCCAUUACUAUAUCAAGUUCUAUAAUUUCUUGUUUGCAUAGGAUUUCCAUAGUGUGAAUGGCAAUAGGCAACUAGUUGGGGAAUACGAGUUCAAAACAAGCACUGCAUGGUACUGCAACUUUCAUUUGGUUUAAACAGGAUGAGGAAAAUCAAAUCAAAACAUCAUAACUGUAAAGCGAUGUGCUUUAGUGUAACAAAUUCAGCCUCACUAGGUGGACAUUUGCAAGCAACUAUGGCAAAAGCGCUCAUCCACAGGUAGUAAAAUAGCCCAACCAGAUCUAUAGCACAUUUUUUUCUUCCACCUACUCAUAAUAAUUGAUCACUCAAAUGGCAUAACCACAAUUAAAUUCAAAUUAAUAAUUAAAUAAUCAGAAACCUCUAUAUUUAAUCUUUUCCACACUUUGCUACACAUAGAUUCUGUAGGAUUAUGAACUGCUUCAUAUUCUUGAAGUGUCAAAAAUAUAGUAAAUAUAUGCUGCCUUACCUGAGAAAUUCAUGAGCAUCUUCUUGUUUACCAGGACCAAAGCUACUGCCAAUGUCAUGCAAAUGAGAGAGUAUCCCAGUUGGUGAUAAAGCAGUCUUGCGUCGUUUGCCCUCCACAAUGAGUUUUUCAAAUUCGCACAUGAAGCACCAUUCCCUUUUGGAGCCUACAGCACACGAGGUAUUAUUUAAAUACUCAAGUGCGCAGUAAAAAGAAACGAAGUGGUGUGACGAGAAUUACAAUUUUUUGAAUGAAGUCCUCCCAAAAGAUAUGUUGUAAGUGGUCGAGUAAACAUCAAGCACUGAAGAACAGCAUUUGCAUAGCAACUGCAAAAGACAUGGGUUAGACAAAGUGAACAACAACAAUGUACUAAAAAAAUAAGUCCAUCCAAAACAACCCACUUAACCCCUAAGCUCUAUGCCACGAAAAGACGCAAGUUCAGUGCUAAUAUAUCAGGCCAUGAUAUAAUCCACCUCAAAGUAUCACAUUCUAUGCACAAAGCAGACUUUAAUGGAAGUUAAAUACAAAUAUUUAGGAGCAUUCACCUAAGAUCAUACAAAUGCCCAGACAAAAAAAAGGGAUAACCUUAAUUGAUAAACCAUGUUUUAAUACCAGCCAACCUUCCUACUCUUGCUAUUGAAAACAAUUCACUGUUUACCUGUUGCCAAGGUUAUGAAGACCAAAGGGGUGCAACUCAACCUUGUCGUAGAGCUUCACAAAAAGUUCAUAUGGAAAGAGUGUCUGACACAAAAAAGAACUGUUAGCAGAAGAGAUAAAAUAAGAUGC